Cryptomeria japonica (Japanese cedar) is the source of this 567-nucleotide long non-coding RNA. RefSeq lists it as uncharacterized. The transcript is spliced from 2 exons. The record is from RefSeq and is a predicted model, not a curated record. Lineage: Eukaryota; Viridiplantae; Streptophyta; Pinopsida; Cupressales; Cupressaceae.
UCAAACAUAAAGAAAACCCUCUCCUCUGCCAGGGUAUAUCAUGGGCUAUAUAAACCCUCGCCAUUAUCUUCUCUCAGUGGUAUUCCUUGCAUAAGCUUAGGUUAUUACUGUGCUUAUGUUUCUCAAUGUUAGCGGCGGCUAUGUCAUACCAAUUUCAUGAAAUGUGAUGAAGUUGCAGCUGUUCUUUAUUCAUGGGAUAAUGGAAGGCCUAUUCCAGAUUGAUUUCUUGAAGGAGUACAAGAAGCUUUCUCAAAUAGGCCUUACAUAUAUCCCAUGACUAUUAUAUAACAUUCACAGCUGGAAUUGGGGAAUUAUUAGAAUGAACUGAAGAGAAGGAAAGCCCUGAGGAUGGUUAAGCAAGCUACUGAAUUUACCCCUUGUAAAUAGAUCUGUAGCAGAAAUUUUCGUCACUAGCACAAUCUGACGAGUCUGAAUCAGAUGAUACAGUCAAAUUGGACAGUUGAUGAAUUUUAACUUCAGACAACAGUUGUAAUAGAAGAUUGUUUAAUAUCUUCACAUUGUUUGCUGGAUCAAUUAUGAGAAUAAAUAAACCCCCAAUAAUCUGAA